GACGAACGCUGGCGGCGUGCUUAACACAUGCAAGUCGAACGGAAAGGCCCUGCUUUUGUGGGGUGCUCGAGUGGCGAACGGGUGAGUAACACGUGAGUAACCUGCCCUUGACUUCGGGAUAACUUCAGGAAACUGGGGCUAAUACCGGAUAGGAGCUCCUGCUGCAUGGUGGGGGUUGGAAAGUUUCGGCGGUUGGGGAUGGACUCGCGGCUUAUCAGCUUGUUGGUGGGGUAGUGGCUUACCAAGGCUCUGACGGGUAGCCGGCCUGAGAGGGUGACCGGCCACAUUGGGACUGAGAUACGGCCCAGACUCCUACGGGAGGCAGCAGUGGGGAAUAUUGCACAAUGGGCGGAAGCCUGAUGCAGCAACGCCGCGUGCGGGAUGACGGCCUUCGGGUUGUAAACCGCUUUCGCCUGUGACGAAGCGUGAGUGACGGUAAUGGGUAAAGAAGCACCGGCUAACUACGUG
This 468-nucleotide ribosomal RNA is filed under the name uncultured bacterium. RNAcentral describes it as "partial 16S ribosomal RNA". It matches the Rfam family "Bacterial small subunit ribosomal RNA", at positions 28 to 507 of the family's 1533-position model. The record is from RNAcentral.